UGCCCAAUGCGGGAUUCGAACCCGGGUUGUAGCGGUCGAAAACCAAUGAUUUAGACCACCCUUCCACUCAUCCACUGGGC
RNAcentral lists this transfer RNA (80 nucleotides) under Cordylochernes scorpioides. RNAcentral describes it as "tRNA-Glu". The record is from RNAcentral. Lineage: Eukaryota; Metazoa; Arthropoda; Arachnida; Pseudoscorpiones; Chernetidae.